This is a long non-coding RNA of Chelonia mydas (Green sea turtle), 1041 nucleotides long. RefSeq lists it as uncharacterized. NCBI's taxonomy places the organism in Eukaryota, Metazoa, Chordata, Testudines, Cheloniidae. The record is from RefSeq and is a predicted model, not a curated record. The transcript has 2 exons.
ACAUUUUCACUUUCAUGUUUACUCGUUGUGCUUAGUAAUUUGUAGAACGUGGACCUGAAAGAUAAGGUUAAUUGACGCCCUGACUUAGCAAAGAACUGGUAGCAGGAUCAAAUGGCAGUUAGAAAGAAAUACUUUGGGACCUGGAAAAGUAAUCUUCCCAUUUUAGCUGUGUCAUUUUGGUCUUUAAUUUUGUUAGUGGUUGAAGAAGUAAUUGAUGGUGAAUUUAAAUGUCCUCAACGAAAUAAUGCGAGCAUUUACUACAGCUUGGCAUUUUUCUUUUUUCCAGCCCUUAUUUUCCUUGUCCUGAGCUUGAUACUUCAGCAGGAUUUCAUUGAUUGGGUUCGCUGCUCAGAAAAACGCAGUAGGGACCGCACGUGUGAAAUAGUGGGAAAGACUUCUGGAGCUGCUCUUUUAUGGCGUGUGAUUCUCCUCAUUGAUGGCCGAUCCGCUGAGUGCAUAAAUAGGACAUUUAAGGGAAGCAGCAUAGAACCCACAGCACAAACAAUGCCAUCACAGCCAUCCAGCGAAGCUUAUCGCAGGUUUUUGGACUAUUUGCCCUUUUUGUUAUGAUCGUUGUCUACUGCCUAUACACACUUUACCCAUUCUGCUUCUGCUGUAAAGAUAAAGAAAAAAUGAAGCGGACAUAGAGCCAGCGCAUACGAGAGAAAGAAGCUCAAAUCUGUAUGUCAAAAGAGGAAAAGUAUGUGUAGGAAAUAGUGCAGAAUGUCCUGCGAUCUAAGUUUCGGGAUCACCUGAAAAAUGUUCCGAAUGACACAAGUAUAACAGGUAUAUUUGAAGAAGUAAAAAACUUUCUUAACCAGCCAGCAACAUCUCAAACUCCUCAAAUGGACACUGAAUUGGAAGUAAGGCUCGGAUAACUACUAAUACGUAUAUAAUCUUCUUGGAAAAGGUGCAGUUCCACACAUGCAUAGUGGCUUUCCUAUACCAAUACAACCAGAACCCCCCCAACACUUUUUAAAAAGAAUAAACAUAAUAGAAUUUAACCAAAAAAUCAUACUUUAUAAUGUACGCUUCAUAUUA